AGAAAUUCAUUUAAAAAAAAAAAAAAAAACCUAGGGGAUUUUGCUCAUUCGUGUUCUAGUUGAUCAUCCACUUUCCUCCCCAUUAUGCCCUGCUUUCUAUGCUCAUUGGCUCAGCCUCAUCAGCUUACGGAUUUAUUAGAGUCAACAGGGCCCAGUUUAUUCAUCUUUGAAAACAUGUUGCCAUAAAACUUGGCUUCUUUCU
This 202-nucleotide unclassified non-coding RNA is filed under the name Hevea brasiliensis (rubber tree). Lineage: Eukaryota; Viridiplantae; Streptophyta; Magnoliopsida; Malpighiales; Euphorbiaceae. The record is from RNAcentral.